Molecule: ribosomal RNA, 247 nt
Filed under: uncultured bacterium
Lineage: Bacteria
Description: partial 16S ribosomal RNA
Rfam family: Bacterial small subunit ribosomal RNA
Source: RNAcentral
UGAAGCCUACGGGAGGCAGCAGUGGGGAAUAUUGGGCAAUGGGCGCAAGCCUGACCCAGCAACGCCGCGUGAAGGAAGAAGGCCCUCGGGUUGUAAACUUCUUUUGUCAGGGACGAAGAAAGUGACGGUACCUGACGAAUAAGCCACGGCUAACUACGUGCCAGCAGCCGCGGUAAUACGUAGGUGGCAAGCGUUAUCCGGAUUUACUGGGUGUAAAGGGCGUGUAGGCGGGAUUGCAAGUCCGAUG